GGUGAGUGGGACUGUCUUCACCUGGCUACAGAGAGUGCCCCUAGUCUGUGACGCUGAGUUCCCAGCUGACCUUCAGCCAUGAAGAUCCUUUAUCUGCUCUUUGCUGUUUUCUUUCUUGUGCUUCAGGAUGCUCCAGAAUUCUCUGAGGCUCAGGAUCCCUUCAAACUCUGUCGAUCCCGCAGGGGUUUCUGCUCCUAUAAGAGAUGUCCCUUCAAUUCUAAACUCAUUAGCAGAUGCGCUGGACGCUUUUUGUGCUGUCGCAGGAAAUGGUGGUUCUGAUUGUCUAGGCAGGACCUCUGCGAAUCUGGCAGACAGCCACUUGCUUCUAAAAUCAUCAGAUCUUGCUUCAAUGGAACCCUGAAGUGCAAUUCAUUUGGACUUGAAAGAACCUCAUGAGCUGGAGAAAUUCCAGAGAGGAGCCUUGUAUCGCCCAUAUCAGAUUUGUUACUCUCCUUUUAACCAAAACAACUUGGUUUGAAAUAAUCUUGCUGAUGUGUAGGUGGCAGGCCAGGGGGCUGUUUCUAUCAUUCAUCACCCUUAG
Molecule: non-coding RNA, 541 nt
Organism: Caretta caretta (loggerhead turtle)
Lineage: Eukaryota; Metazoa; Chordata; Testudines; Cheloniidae
Source: RefSeq, a predicted model, not a curated record